ACGGUCACAAAUACUUACACAAACAGUGAUACAAACACAAAAACAAGCACAUACAGACAUUGGCAAAAACACAAGCAAACAUAGACAUAGACGCGAAAACAGACAUAAACACAAACAUACACACACAUAUAGAUAGACACGACAUAGAACAAGAAUAGACACAAACACGAACACAGGCAUAAAUACAUACACGAAUAUAUCGAAACAUACACAAACGCACCCCAUACAUAGAAGAAUAAGACACUGAGAAAAAUAAGCAAACACAGAUACAAAUAAGAACAAAAACAAAUACAAAAACAAACAUAAAAACAAACAUAGACAAAAAGAUAAACGCAAAUAAAUACAAACACAAACGCACACAAAUAUAAAUAAACAAACAUAAAUGCAGACAUAGACAAACACAGACAAGACAAAGACAAGCACAAAUAUACACAUAGAUAAACAUGCAUAAAGAUUAGUAUAGACACAAACACAAACAUAAAUAAAAAGAAGCAGACACCGACACAUACAAACGUAGAUAGAUAAAUACAAAUACAGACAUAGAUAUAAAUAUAAAAGAAAAAUAUUGACAGACAUAAAUACAAAUAUAGACAAUACAAAUAAAUACAAACGUAGAUAUAUAAACACAGACGAAAAUACAGACAGACAUAUAUAGACAUAGACAAAUAAAUAUAAAGACACAAACAGACAUGCAUACAAACAUAAAUACAUAUAUGAAUG
This 720-nucleotide unclassified non-coding RNA is filed under the name Hevea brasiliensis (rubber tree). Lineage: Eukaryota; Viridiplantae; Streptophyta; Magnoliopsida; Malpighiales; Euphorbiaceae. The record is from RNAcentral.